CCUCCCGUUCUUGGCACGGUUACCCUGUCUGUGGCGUGUGUGUAUAAUACGGAGGGAUAGUGACAUCAGUGCCAUGUCUUCGGUGGCAUUCACUGAGACACCA
Small nucleolar RNA from Callorhinchus milii (elephant shark), 103 nucleotides. NCBI's taxonomy places the organism in Eukaryota, Metazoa, Chordata, Chondrichthyes, Chimaeriformes, Callorhinchidae. The record is from Ensembl.